CCUACGGGAGGCAGCAGUGAGGAAUAUUGGUCAAUGGGCGAGAGCCUGAACCAGCCAAGUCGCGUGAAGGAUGACGGCCCUACGGGUUGUAAACUUCUUUUAUAUGGGAAUAAAAUGUCCCACGUGUGUGAUUUUGUAUGUACCAUAUGAAUAAGGAUCGGCUAACUCCGUGCCAGCAGCCGCGGUAAUACGGAGGAUCCGAGCGUUAUCCGGUUUUAUUGGGUUAAAAGGGAGCGUAGGGGGAUUGUUAAGUCAGUUGAGAAAGUUGGCGGCAAAACCGUAAAAUUGCAGUUGAAACUGGAAGUCUUGAGUACAGGAGAGGUGUGCGGAAUUCGGGGUGUAGCGGUGAAAUGCUUAGAUAUCACGGAGAACUCCGAGUGCGAAGGCAGUUCACUGGACUGAAACUGACACUGAGGCUCGAAAGUGUGGGUAUCAAACAGGAUUAGAUACCCGUAGUC
Molecule: ribosomal RNA, 458 nt
Filed under: uncultured bacterium
Lineage: Bacteria
Description: partial 16S ribosomal RNA
Rfam family: Bacterial small subunit ribosomal RNA
Source: RNAcentral